Molecule: ribosomal RNA, 527 nt
Filed under: uncultured fungus
Lineage: Eukaryota; Fungi
Description: eukaryotic LSU rRNA
Rfam family: 5.8S ribosomal RNA (bases 220-374)
Source: RNAcentral
GCGGAAGGAUCAUUACCGAAUUGUCAACAAGGGUUGUUGCUGGCCCCUGUAUGGGGGGCAUGUGCACGCUCUGUUUACACAUCCAUUCACACCUGAUGCACCCUCUGUAGUUCUAUGGCCUGGGGGGCCCUGUCCUCCUGCUGUGGUCCUAUGUCUUUACACACACACACCGAAAUAAAGUCUAAUGGAAUGUAUGUCGCGUUUAACGCAAUGAAAUACAACUUUCAGCAACGGAUCUCUUGGCUCUCGCAUCGAUGAAGAACGCAGCGAAAUGCGAUAAGUAAUGUGAAUUGCAGAAUUCAGUGAAUCAUCGAAUCUUUGAACGCACCUUGCGCCCUUUGGCUAUUCCGAAGGGCAUGCCUGUUUGAGUAUCAUGAACAUCUCAACUCUCAUGGCUUGCCAUGAUGAGCUUGGACUUUGGAGGUCUUGCUGGCCUGUGGUCAGCUCCUCUCAAAUGAAUUAUCCUGCCGGUGUUUGGUGGGAUCACAGGAGUGAUAACUAUCUACGCUUGUGGUUUUCCACCAGGU